UAGGGAAUCUUCGGCAAUGGACGAAAGUCUGACCGAGCAACGCCGCGUGAGUGAAGAAGGUUUUCGGAUCGUAAAAUUCUGUUGUUAGAGAAGAACAAGGACGUUAGUAACUGAACGUCCCCUGACGGAAUCUAACCAGAAAGCCACGGCUAACUACGUGCCAGCAGCCGCGGUAAUACGGAGGUGGCAAGCGUUGUCCGGAUUUAUUGGGCGUAAAGCGAGCGCAGGCGGUUUCUUAAGUCUGAUGUGAAAGCCCCCGGCUCAACCGGGGAAGGUCAUUGGAAACUGGGAGACUUGAGUGCAGAAGAGGGGAGUGGAAUUCCAUGUGUAGCGGUGAAAUGCGUAGAUAUAUGAAGGAACACCAGUGGCGAAGGCGGCUCUCUGGUCUGUAACUGACGCUGAGGCUCGAAAGCGUGGGGAGCAAACAGG
RNAcentral lists this ribosomal RNA (429 nucleotides) under Gemmatimonadota bacterium. Its description in RNAcentral is "Gemmatimonadetes bacterium partial 16S ribosomal RNA". It matches the Rfam family "Bacterial small subunit ribosomal RNA", at positions 355 to 776 of the family's 1533-position model. Lineage: Bacteria; Pseudomonadati; Gemmatimonadota. The record is from RNAcentral.